AUACCAAAUGAAAAACAAGUAAUUUGGUUUUGGAUCAAUGAAUUUGGAUGCCAGAAAAAGCUUAGAGAAAUCAUUCAUCUUCUAUGCAGCUAUCACAAGCAGAUUUCAGAGGAAAAUUCAACACGGGAAACGAUUUCAUUAAUUAUAUUAAUUUCACCUACCCGUAGGUUUGUUCCAUUAUCGGAUCCAGAAUGACUUUUAUUGUGCUGUUUUCAGUGACGAAGAACUCUUAAAUCGAUGUCUUUGGAAGAGAAAUGUAUUUUCAAGCUGACAGAUGCUGUGCACUAGAGAUAAUUCAGAUUUCUGCUAAUGAAGUGCAAGAACUGGCUUAUGAUAGAAUCCCUACUAACUUAUUUACAAAGGCGAUCAAUUUCUCAUCUCCAUCACAGCUUUCAUUAUUCUUGUCUGAAUUAUUUUUACCUAGACAACAUUCAAUUUGAACUUUUAAAGCAUUAUUGAUUUUAUUUCAAUCUAACAAUCCAUGGCUAUAUUCCCAAAUUCAGCUUCAAACAGUAAAGUAACUGCUGCGGAAUUGAAAAAAAUUGGGAAUUUUUAUUGAUAGAUGUUGAGAAAGCUUUGAAUUUUCUUAUCCAAAAGAAAAAAGUAGUAAGAAAAGUAAUGAACUUCUCAAAAUCCAGAAACUUUGAAAAAUAUAAACCAGGAAAUUUAAGAUGGAUCAGAAUCCUGGCUUGGUUCUCAAAAGAGAAAAAUCGCUCAGUUUAUUCAGCUUCGAUCAUUUGGGGAAAUAAUCAUCAUCUCCAUCUGUUGAAUCCCAUUAUUUAUCAUUAAUUAUUCCUACAAAUCGCAAUAAUUUAACAUAAAAAAUAAAAAUUUCAAAAAAUAUUUUAAAAAAUCAAGUUGAAGAUGGAUCAGAAAUCUGGCUUGGAUCUCUCGAAAGAGAAAAAUCGCUCAGUUUGUUCACCUUCGAUCAUCUGGGGAAAUAAUCAUCACCUCCAUCUUCGUCUUCAUUUAAAAAAAAACUUUCAAAAUAGAACAAAAUAAAGAUCUAACAAAGACACCAAAAUAUCUCCAAAUCUGCAUCAAACAGAGAGGUGUAAGGAUCUAAUCAACUCCUAAUUGGGAUUUUGCAGAAACGGAAAAUUAGAUAUAGCGUCAGCUCAUACACAACGUUUACUCUGUAAAAAACGCUGGUAAUCAGUAUAUGACGCAAGGAAAAAUUAGAUUUCUUGAUAGUUAAUGAAAGGUUAAGAAAUU
Populus euphratica (Euphrates poplar) is the source of this 1215-nucleotide long non-coding RNA. RefSeq lists it as uncharacterized. The record is from RefSeq and is a predicted model, not a curated record. The transcript is spliced from 2 exons. NCBI's taxonomy places the organism in Eukaryota, Viridiplantae, Streptophyta, Magnoliopsida, Malpighiales, Salicaceae.